UCUCUCUCUCUCUCUCUCUCUCUCUCAAAGAUCACUCAUUUUCUUACCACCAUGACUAGCAGAGAAAUUCUGCACAAGAUGAAGGUGAAGGCCGGAUUUUGUUCAUCGUCUGAGACAGGAAAAGGCAAAAGCAAAAUGUCAAAGCAUAUCACACAUGGUUAUCACUUGAUGAAGGGAAAAUCAAAUCAUGCCAUGGAAGAUUAUGUAUUUUCUGAUUUCAAGCAAGUAAAUAACAAUGAGUUGGGUUUAUUUGCAAUAUUUGAUGGCCAUUUGGGCCAUGAUGUUGCAAAUUACUUGCAAACCCAUUUGUUUGACAAUAUUUUGAAAGAGCAUGACUUCUGGACAGAUACAGAGAGUGCAAUAAGGAGAGCUUAUCAUACAACGGAUGUUGAAAUACUGGAAAAAGCAUUUGUCUUGGGUAAAGGAGGAUCAACUGCUGUUACAGCAAUCCUGAUCAAUGGUCAGAAGCUGGUAGUAGCAAAUGUGGGAGAUUCUCGGGCUGUCAUAUCCAAGAAUGGCGUGGCCAAACAACUAUCUGUCGAUCAUGAACCAAGCAAAGAAAAGAAUACGAUAGAGAGUCGUGGUGGUUUUGUGUCAAACCUUCCUGGGGAUGUUCCACGUGUUGAUGGACAGCUAGCCGUUGCAAGGGCAUUUGGUGAUAAGAGCUUGAAGAUACACCUUAGUUCAGAACCUGAUGUGGCUGAAGAGACAAUCGAUGAUGACACAGAGUUCAUCAUUCUGGCAAGUGAUGGGAUAUGGAAGGUGAUGUCAAACCAAGAAGCAGUGGAUACUAUAAAAGACAUCAAAGAUGCUCAUUCAGCUGCAAAGCGCUUGAUAGACGAGGCAGUUUCUAGAAAAAGUAAGGAUGACAUAUCUUGCAUAGUUGUAAGAUUUCAGUGAUAAUAUCUAUGAACAAUUGAAGUUUGUUUUCCUUUAACUUGUGAAAAAUCAACAAUAAUACGUUUAUACAUAACUU
This 976-nucleotide unclassified non-coding RNA is filed under the name Hevea brasiliensis (rubber tree). Lineage: Eukaryota; Viridiplantae; Streptophyta; Magnoliopsida; Malpighiales; Euphorbiaceae. The record is from RNAcentral.